RNAcentral lists this ribosomal RNA (917 nucleotides) under uncultured Eubacteriales bacterium. RNAcentral's name for it is "bacterial SSU rRNA". It matches the Rfam family "Bacterial small subunit ribosomal RNA", at positions 12 to 930 of the family's 1533-position model. Lineage: Bacteria; Bacillati; Bacillota; Clostridia; Eubacteriales. The record is from RNAcentral.
UUUGAUCCUGGCUCAGGAUGAACGCUGGCGGCGUGCUUAACACAUGCAAGUCGAACGAAGCACCUUGAUUUGAUUCUUCGGAUGAAGAUCUUGGUGACUGAGUGGCGGACGGGGGAGUAACGCGUGGGUAACCUGCCUCAUACAGGGGGAUAACAGUUAGAAAUGACUGCUAAUACCGCAUAAGACCACAGCACCGCAUGGUGCAGGGGUAAAAACUCCGGUGGUAUGAGAUGGACCCGCGUCUGAUUAGGUAGUUGGUGGGGUAACGGCCUACCAAGCCGACGAUCAGUAGCCGACCUGAGAGGGUGACCGGCCACAUUGGGACUGAGACACGGCCCAAACUCCUACGGGAGGCAGCAGUGGGGAAUAUUGCACAAUGGGGGAAACCCUGAUGCAGCGACGCCGCGUGAGCGAUGAAGUAUUUCGGUAUGUAAAGCUCUAUCAGCAGGGAAGAAAAUGACGGUACCUGACUAAGAAGCACCGGCUAAAUACGUGCCAGCAGCCGCGGUAAUACGUAUGGUGCAAGCGUUAUCCGGAUUUACUGGGUGUAAAGGGAGCGUAGACGGAGUGGCAAGUCUGAUGUGAAAACCCGGGGCUCAACCCCGGGACUGCAUUGGAAACUGUCAAUCUAGAGUACCGGAGAGGUAAGCGGAAUUCCUAGUGUAGCGGUGAAAUGCGUAGAUAUUAGGAGGAACACCAGUGGCGAAGGCGGCUUACUGGACGGUAACUGACGUUGAGGCUCGAAAGCGUGGGGAGCAAACAGGAUUAGAUACCCUGGUAGUCCACGCCGUAAACGAUGACUACUAGGUGUCGGGCAGCAAAGCUGUUCGGUGCCGCAGCAAACGCAAUAAGUAGUCCACCUGGGGAGUACGUUCGCAAGAAUGAAACUCAAAGGAAUUGACGGGGACCCCCCAAGC